This 606-nucleotide ribosomal RNA is filed under the name uncultured archaeon. RNAcentral describes it as "bacterial SSU rRNA". It matches the Rfam family "Archaeal small subunit ribosomal RNA", at positions 315 to 921 of the family's 1478-position model. The record is from RNAcentral.
UCCAGGCCCUACGGGGUGCAGCAGGCGCGAAACCUCCGCAAUGUGAGAAAUUGCGACGGGGGGAUCCCAAGUGCCAUUCUUAACGGGAUGGCUUUUCAUUAGUGUAAAGAGCUUUUGGAAUAAGAGCUGGGCAAGACCGGUGCCAGCCGCCGCGGUAACACCGGCAGCUCUAGUGGUAGCAGUUUUUAUUGGGCCUAAAGCGUCCGUAGCCGGUUUAAUAAGUCUCUGGUGAAAUCCUGCAGCUUAACUGUGGGAAUUGCUGGAGAUACUAUUAGACUUGAGAUCGGGAGAGGUUAGAGGUACUCCCAGGGUAGAGGUGAAAUUCUGUAAUCCUGGGAGGACCGCCUGUUGCGAAGGCGUCUGACUGGAACGAUUCUGACGGUGAGGGACGAAAGCUAGGGGCGCGAACCGGAUUAGAUACCCGGGUAGUCCUAGCUGUAAACGAUGCGGACUUGGUGUUGGGGUGGCUUUGAGCUGUCCCGGUGCCGAAGGGAAGCUGUUAAGUCCGCCGCCUGGGAAGUACGGUCGCAAGACUGGAACUUAAAGGAAUUGGCGGGGGAGCACCACAACGCGUGGAGCCUGCGGUUUAAUUGGAGUCAACGCCGG